This 293-nucleotide ribosomal RNA is filed under the name uncultured microorganism. Its description in RNAcentral is "partial 16S ribosomal RNA". It matches the Rfam family "Bacterial small subunit ribosomal RNA", at positions 505 to 796 of the family's 1533-position model. The record is from RNAcentral.
GUGCCAGCAGCCGCGGUAAUACGUAGGGCGCAAGCGUUAUCCGGAAUUAUUGGGCGUAAAGAGCUCGUAGGCGGUUUGUCGCGUCUGCUGUGAAAGACCGGGGCUCAACUCCGGUUCUGCAGUGGGUACGGGCAGACUAGAGUGCAGUAGGGGAGACUGGAAUUCCUGGUGUAGCGGUGAAAUGCGCAGAUAUCAGGAGGAACACCGAUGGCGAAGGCAGGUCUCUGGGCUGUAACUGACGCUGAGGAGCGAACAGCAUGGGGAGCGAACAGGAUUAGAUACCCUGGUAGUCC